AUACGGAGGGGACUAGCGUUGUUCGGAAUUACUGGGCGUAAAGCGUACGUAGGCGGAUCAGAAAGUAUGGGGUGAAAUCCCAGGGCUCAACCCUGGAACUGCCUCAUAAACUCCUGGUCUUGAGUUCGAGAGAGGUGAGUGGAAUUCCGAGUGUAGAGGUGAAAUUCGUAGAUAUUCGGAGGAACACCAGUGGCGAAGGCGGCUCACUGGCUCGAUACUGACGCUGAGGUACGAAAGUGUGGGGAGCAAACAGGAUUAAACCCUAGUAGUCC
RNAcentral lists this ribosomal RNA (272 nucleotides) under uncultured bacterium. RNAcentral describes it as "partial 16S ribosomal RNA". It matches the Rfam family "Bacterial small subunit ribosomal RNA", at positions 523 to 796 of the family's 1533-position model. The record is from RNAcentral.